Molecule: non-coding RNA, 115 nt
Organism: Triticum aestivum (bread wheat)
Lineage: Eukaryota; Viridiplantae; Streptophyta; Magnoliopsida; Poales; Poaceae
Source: Rfam
CUACUACUCCCUCCGUCCGAAAAUACUUGUCAUUGAAAUGGAUGUAUCUAGAUGUAUUUUAGUUCUAGACACAUCCAUUUUGAUGACAAGUAAUUCCGGACGGAGGGAGUAUGAU